RNAcentral lists this ribosomal RNA (253 nucleotides) under uncultured bacterium. Its description in RNAcentral is "partial 16S ribosomal RNA". It matches the Rfam family "Bacterial small subunit ribosomal RNA", at positions 524 to 776 of the family's 1533-position model. The record is from RNAcentral.
UACGAGGGGGGCGAGCGUUGUUCGGAAUUAUUGGGCGUAAAGGGUGCGUAGGCGGUUUGGUAAGUCUUAUGUGAAAUCUACAGGCUCAACUUGUAGUCUGCAUGAGAAACUGCCGGGCUUGAGUAUGGGAGAGGUGAGUGGAAUUCCGGGUGUAGUGGUGGAAUACGUAGAUAUCCGGAGGAACACCAGCGGCGAAGGCGGCUUUCUGGUCUGAUACUGACGCUGAGGCGCGAAAGCGUGGGGAGCGAUCCGG